GGCCUCUGCCAGCAGAACCCCACUGGCCAGGCGUGAGCUGUCCUCUGAAAUGCCCAGAGGCCAAAAUGUUCUUUGGAGGAUCUUAUUCAGCUGAACUGCAAUGCUGUCUCCACCUCCCUAGCUGCUGGGAUUAUACAGGCGUGGGCCACCACAUCUGGCUUCAAUGUUGUCAGCCCUGGGUGGUGUCAGGGAUGCCAGGAACAGGAGAACCAGAAGAGGCUGUUGACAUGCUCAGGGAGGGAGCAAGAACUGGUUAAAGCCUCAGACACCAGCCUGUCUGACCACAGAGCCUAAGAUGCGUGAAGACAGAGAGAUUCGAUCAAAUGGGGCGGACACCCUGUGAAUACUAGAGAAAGAAACAGAUAUCUGGAUGCCACCACUCUUUGGCUCAGUGACUGUCAGUGUCUCCCCGCUGUAGUCAAGGUAUUAAACCUAGGCUUCUUGCUCUGCCCUGGGAGGGAAGUGACUGUGUCACUCACAGAACAAGCAGGGACACAUUUUGCAGGUCAAAGGGGAUGCUGCAUACCGGUAUCUUAGAACAACAAGAACACAACAGACUUUACUUUUUAAACAGGGAGGCAUAGCUGCCACACUUGCCUGGAGCCCAGGGAACAGUGUCUGUCUUUCUCUCUGGCUUCCUUCUCCGACCCACUCCCUCUCUGAGCCAUCUGCAGUUUUGCCCUUCAACCCAGAGAAGCCCUUUGAGUAGCUGGAGCUAUCUUGUUAUUGUGGCCCCACAUUGAACACUACCUGCCCAAGAGCCCUUCUCUGACCACACAUUCCCACUCAAACCUCCUCCAUCUCAAAGUUGUGACUUGUGCCCCACCCCGCCCCCGCCCCCUUGCUCUCAGCUCUGUGUCUGAGAUUCCCUUCUUUGGCACUGGCAGGGAGGAUGCAUUGAAUUCCCCCAGGCACCUGUCAGCUUCUGGGGAGGUGUUUCUGAGGGUAAACUGACUCUAUCUGGGGAUGUACAGGGAGCAAGGAAGGAAAGACGACUGACUGUGCCUACGAGGUCACCCCAGAAAUCAGAAUUACUUUCUCCUCAGUCCCCCAGUUGUUUCAUCUGAGAGGACCCUGGGGGCUGAGUCUGAAUAAAGAUUACAAACCACCUUCCCC
Molecule: long non-coding RNA, 1116 nt
Filed under: Mus caroli (Ryukyu mouse)
Lineage: Eukaryota; Metazoa; Chordata; Mammalia; Rodentia; Muridae
Description: lncRNA (MGP_CAROLIEiJ_G0006507.1)
Source: RNAcentral